GACGAACGCUGGCGGCGUGCUUAACACAUGCAAGUCGAGCGGUAAGGCCCUUUCGGGGGUACACGAGCGGCGAACGGGUGAGUAACACGUGGGUGACCUGCCCUCAGCUCUGGGAUAAGCCUGGGAAACCGGGUCUAAUACUGGAUAUGACUCCAUGACGCAUGUUGUGGGGUGGAAAGCCUUGUGCGGCUGAGGAUGGGCCCGCGGCCUAUCAGCUUGUUGGUGGGGUGGAUGGCCUACCAAGGCGACGACGGGUAGCCGGCCUGAGAGGGCGACCGGCCACACUGGGACUGAGACACGGCCCAGACUCCUACGGGAGGCAGCAGUGGGGAAUCUUGCGCAAUGGGCGAAAGCCUGACGCAGCGACGCCGCGUGAGGGAUGACGGCCU
RNAcentral lists this ribosomal RNA (389 nucleotides) under uncultured bacterium. RNAcentral describes it as "bacterial SSU rRNA". It matches the Rfam family "Bacterial small subunit ribosomal RNA", at positions 28 to 417 of the family's 1533-position model. The record is from RNAcentral.